RNAcentral lists this unclassified non-coding RNA (211 nucleotides) under Hevea brasiliensis (rubber tree). The record is from RNAcentral. Lineage: Eukaryota; Viridiplantae; Streptophyta; Magnoliopsida; Malpighiales; Euphorbiaceae.
UCUUGAUUUCAAACCAUGGAGUAAAUGGCUAUUUCUGGUGAAGAUACAUACUUUUCCAGUGGGAAUAUAGUAUUCUGAGUGAUGCUAAGAAAGAGAUCCAGAGUAACAAGUAGUAAGCAAGCUCUAAUGGCGGACUAUAGCGCAAUUCUAUCUCCAACGAAAAAAUAUAAAAAACCCAGUUCUUUUCCAAGGUUGUUCACUGGCUUCUCCU